GAUGAAGAACGCAGUGAAAUGCGAUAAGUAAUGCGAAUUGCAGAAUUCCGUGAGUCAUCGAAUCUUUGAACGCACAUUGCGCCCUCUGGUAUUCCGGAGGGCAUGCCUGUCUGAGCGUCAUUGUCAACCCUCAAGCUCAGCUUGCUGUUGGGUCCCCGUCGUUGCUUUAACGGCGGACCCGAAAGGUAAUGGCAGAGUCCGUGAGACCCUAGACGCAGCGAGCUUCUAGCACGCGUCUGGACGUUUUUCGGGCUCGGUCUUAACUAGAUGAUAACUUCCGAUUGACCUCAGAUCAGGUAGGGAUACCCGCUGAACUUAAGCAUAUCAAUAAGGGAGGA
Molecule: unclassified non-coding RNA, 338 nt
Filed under: soil metagenome
Description: partial contains 5.8S ribosomal RNA, internal transcribed spacer 2, and large subunit ribosomal RNA
Rfam family: 5.8S ribosomal RNA (bases 1-120)
Source: RNAcentral